RNAcentral lists this non-coding RNA (21 nucleotides) under Caenorhabditis elegans. The record is from RNAcentral. Lineage: Eukaryota; Metazoa; Nematoda; Chromadorea; Rhabditida; Rhabditidae.
UAAGGCCUAGGAAUUGUGUGG